This 523-nucleotide ribosomal RNA is filed under the name uncultured bacterium. RNAcentral's name for it is "bacterial SSU rRNA". It matches the Rfam family "Bacterial small subunit ribosomal RNA", at positions 30 to 526 of the family's 1533-position model. The record is from RNAcentral.
AUUGAACGCUGGCGGCAGGCCUAACACAUGCAAGUCGAACGGUAACACGAAAAAGCUUGCUCCACCGGAAAAAGAGGAGUGGCGAACGGGUGAGUAACACGUGGGUAACCUGCCCAUCAGAAGGGGAUAACACUUGGAAACAGGUGCUAAUACCGUAUAACAAUCGAAACCGCAUGGUUUUGAUUUGAAAGGCGCUUUCGGGUGUCGCUGAUGGAUGGACCCGCGGUGCAUUAGCUAGUUGGUGAGGUAACGGCUCACCAAGGCCACGAUGCAUAGCCGACCUGAGAGGGUGAUCGGCCACAUUGGGACUGAGACACGGCCCAAACUCCUACGGGAGGCAGCAGUAGGGAAUCUUCGGCAAUGGACGAAAGUCUGACCGAGCAACGCCGCGUGAGUGAAGAAGGUUUUCGGAUCGUAAAACUCUGUUGUUAGAGAAGAACAAGGAUGAGAGUAACUGUUCAUCCCUUGACGGUAUCUAACCAGAAAGCCACGGCUAACUACGUGCCAGCAGCCGCAGUAACAC